RNAcentral lists this long non-coding RNA (682 nucleotides) under Nicotiana benthamiana. RNAcentral's name for it is "long non-coding RNA (NBEN_LNC032912)". Lineage: Eukaryota; Viridiplantae; Streptophyta; Magnoliopsida; Solanales; Solanaceae. The record is from RNAcentral.
UCGCAUUGAUCAGCAAUUUACUGCAUAAAAAAGCUCCAUUUUACUUCUGAAAAUUCAAAUUCCAAAAAUCUUUAAAAAAAAACUCGAAAACCUCUCCUUUUCUGAUCACCCACAAGUUUUAAAACAUGGUUUGAAACUAGAUAAUUUUUCUUGGUCUAUGAGGCGAGGUUUCUGGUUUCAGCUGGUUGUUUUGGAGUCUGCAGUUUUGAUUCUUUGGGUUUGCUGAAGCUUUUUGUUCAUUGUUGCUGUUUUAUGCUUCUGAGAUUCCUCUAAUAGUCUCAUCCUCAUUUUGAAAGUUACAUAUGACCCUUUCCUUGUUUGAUUCCUAUGUAAUUGAAACUUAGAUGAAUAUAAGUUGUUUUAUUUUUGUUUGACACCGUUUGUGUAUGUUUGUUCAGUUUUAUAUGCUGAUACUACAAUAGUGCUAUUCUUUCUCUCAGAAUGCAUGAGUUUCUUUACCUAUAGCUUAUGUCAUAAUAUUUAGUUUCUUUGUUAGACCUUAUUAAUAAUUAUCUUAUGCAAUGUAUGCAUUUCUGUUUUUUUUUGUACUAAUUAAAAUUUGUUCAAGCUCCCCUUAUUAAAAUGAUGUUUGUCCUUUGAGCUUGACCCUUACAUGGUCAUGUUCAUGGAUUGAACUUCCCAUUUCCUUACCCUUGAGUCUAUUCUAGUAUUCCACUAAGAC